AGGCAGUUUCAGUCUUUCUCUAUCUACUUUCCCCAUGCCUUGUAUCAUGAUAGACGUUUAUAAAAAAAAAUAAAAAUGAUACAAGGCAUGGGGAAAGUAGAUAGAGAAAGACUGAAACUGCCU
This is a non-coding RNA of Podarcis lilfordi (Lilford's wall lizard), 123 nucleotides long. NCBI's taxonomy places the organism in Eukaryota, Metazoa, Chordata, Lepidosauria, Squamata, Lacertidae. The record is from the annotation of a GenBank genome assembly.